CUUGAAAUCCUCCUCAUCAAGCUCAUCCGUAGCAGUUCCAUCCAAUUCCUUGAUCAGCCCUUUUAUCAAUUCAAACAAAACCUCAACCUUGUCAGCAGUUGAUACACAGGUAUCAUUCUUCAUGAUGCUCUCAAUGAUUAUUGUUGCCAUGAUCUUGUUUGUUCCAGCAUCAAGGUGAUCCAUGACACGUGGAUAAUUUGAAAGAGUUAGAACUGUUACAAUGUCAGUGUAUUUCUCCAAGGGUGCACUCAGGAGAGCGACAACUUGUUUUGUCGCUUUACUAUCCUCAAGCUUGGAUUUACCAGAAAGUUUCUUGACACAUGCUCCCUACCAACAAUCAGCAAAGCAAAUCAAG
This 355-nucleotide unclassified non-coding RNA is filed under the name Hevea brasiliensis (rubber tree). The record is from RNAcentral. Lineage: Eukaryota; Viridiplantae; Streptophyta; Magnoliopsida; Malpighiales; Euphorbiaceae.